Amblyraja radiata (thorny skate) is the source of this 450-nucleotide long non-coding RNA. RefSeq lists it as uncharacterized. The transcript is spliced from 2 exons. The record is from RefSeq and is a predicted model, not a curated record. NCBI's taxonomy places the organism in Eukaryota, Metazoa, Chordata, Chondrichthyes, Rajiformes, Rajidae.
AUUUUGGUCAGUAUUCCUGGAAGGGCCGAGCCCAUGGAUUGAAGUAAAGCUGGGGGAGAGGAGAAGGAACACAGAUACACAACAAGGGGAUUGUGCACCUACUUGCAAACCUAACGCCUUCCAGCUGUUGCGGCAAAACAACUUCACAAAGACUUAAUGUAGUGGUAGCCGAGGGAGUAAGCAUGCAGCAAAAUUCUGGGGUCUAUUCUGGAUCUCCGGGAAACUCAACCUUUAUGACCUUAUUUGCUGGAGGUGGAUCUUCUAAUUGGUUGAUCAAGGCAUUGACCAAAAUCUCAUGGUUGCCAGGAAAGACACAAAGGUGGUCACCAGGCUGGUAGCUCAAUCCGUCCAGAUUGUCUGUGUGUAUCCGCAGUAGUAUUGUGGACCGGCUGCAUGGAAAGACAGAACAAUGCUUCAAACAUCGGGAUUAACCACAACACUCAGCCCACA